Myiozetetes cayanensis is the source of this 3440-nucleotide long non-coding RNA. RefSeq lists it as uncharacterized. The record is from RefSeq and is a predicted model, not a curated record. Lineage: Eukaryota; Metazoa; Chordata; Aves; Passeriformes; Tyrannidae. The transcript has 3 exons.
CCUUUACCUCCGACGCCGCGGGACCCGCCUACACCCUGAGAACACCCAGUCCCUCGGCGGGCGGGAGCGCGCGGUUUUGCCGAGCCCCGCCCACUGUGUCCAGCCGGGCCUCUGAUUGGAGGGUGGACCCUUACUCUGGUGAUGGGCAGGCGGCGCGACCUAUGGGAGGGCGCGGGGCGGGCUCCGACCACGCAGUAGUGGGAAUCCCAGAGCUGGACGCAGCACUCCAGGCGGUAUCUCAUGAGAAUGGAGUAGAGGGGGAGUACCACUUCCCUGAACCUGCUGGCCACGCUGCUUUUGUUGCAGUCCUGGAUAACAGACUUUCUAAUAUGCAAGUAUUGCUGGCUCAUAUCCAAGUUUUCACCCAUCAGUAUCCCCAAGUCCUCUUCAGUCAACCUAUUUGUCACCAGUCUGUACUAGUACUUCGGACUGUCCCAACCCUAGUUUUCAUGUUUCUGUUCUGUUUUCCCCUACAGGUGCACCAGAUCCAAAGUUGACUUACACAUUCUAAACAAUGCUUAAUGAACUCUCAUAUUCUAGAGGCCCGAGCGUGAUUCUUCUUAGGGAAGCAAAACACGAGAACUAUUUCCUCCCACUCAAAAUAAAGGUGCUGCUGCUAGAAGAGUGUUUUAGGGAAUGUUUUCCCCUCAGGCAGCUUAAGAAUAUUGCAUUUGAUUCCAGCAUAGUGCCAGUUUAUUUUUUUUCAAUAAAACUUCAGAUUUGAUUAAUUCCCUUCAGUCAUUCCUGAAGACUUGGCAAAAGGUCUUCCUCUACUGUAGCAGUACUUUCUGUUAGCAUCACUUAAGAAAAUAAUGUAGGUUUUUCUUCACUAUGUGAAACAACUUCAUAGAAUCAUAGCAUAUCCUGAGUUGGAAGGGACGCACAAGGAUCAUCAAGUGAUGAUCCCGGUCCUGCACAGGAAAACCUCAAGAAUCACACCACGUAUUUGGGAGCAUUAUCCAAACUUUAGAGACAAAUAUAAGGCUGCUUUACAGCUAAAAAUUUCAGGUGUAUAGGUAAGAAGCUAAAGUUUAAUCUCGUGCAAUGAUAAAUGUCUGAUUUAUACAGGUUCAUGUGACUACCCACACUGUACCACUGAACAUUCAAUGGUAUGUUAUCUUCUGGAAACUGGAGAGCAGAAUAAAUAUGAGCAGUGCUUGCAGACAUGUUAGGAAAAGGUUCUUUCAGAUAGAAGUUUUUUGGUGCUCUUCCACUUGUGACUUUUAAAGUACCUUCAUCUUGUAUCAAAUGUCAAACAACAGUGGAAAGAAUCCCUUCCCAGAGAGCUGUUUCCUGUUGCACCACAAUCACACUAUUUACUUCUAUUUGCUACAUCUCAAUUAAAAAAAUUAUUAAUUUCAAAAUUAUCAGAUAAGACCACCUUUGGACUACGCUGCACUUCAGUCAAGUGUGCUAAAUUAUUGCCCAAUCAGACAUUUACUAGAAUCUAUAUGAUGAACUUUCCUUCUCAGCAAAGCUUUAAAGGAAUGAAUCACAAUACAGUUUGUAACAACAACACUUAUUACUCUGUCAAAGCAGCAAUAAUCCAGAACAUGAAUUCUAUCUUUGCUAACCAUGCUACAACUAUAAUCACAAACACACACACACCACCAGGACUAGCCAAAGGACAGCACUAGUGGGGGUGGGAACUGGAUGGGGCAGAAAAGCACCUGGUUAAAAUCCUAGGGCAGCUAGUGCUCACCAUGACAUUUACAUUUAAUCUGAGUCAUUCAUAUCGUAAUCCGUUUCUUCAUCCUCACUCUGAGUGUCAUGCAGCAUGCAGCAAGUAUAGAAAAAGGAAGGGAAAAGAAGAAAUUGCAAGUGAGUCAGAGCUGCAACAAAGUACAGUCCACUUACACCUGAAGCAUCUGGUAAUGAUAUUUAUUUACUUUUACCUGGGACCUCCACUCUUAGUAAAAAAGUAUAACAGCUGGCAAUUUCAAGAACGAACAUAACAGAUUUCAUGAAAAUUUCCUUUUCCAAAUGUCCUAAAAUUAGCAGAUAGAAGCCAAUAGUGCCAUGCAACAUAACAACAGGGAAUGUAAGUAUAGAGAAAAGUUAAAUAAAACUGUAACGCUGGUACCUUAACUCUGUGUACUCUUCGCCAUGGAUGCAAAAGGAUAAUACUAGUAUCUAACUUUGGAUGUAGACAUUAUGAACAAGUUUUGUUUAUUAGUCCCAAGAGUGUUCGGUCAAUAAAGUCAUAUGAAAGAGAAGAAUGCUUGUGGGACAGUGCCACAGCUACCAGUAAAAGCCACUGGAACCAUUCAAGUUCAAUUUUCUUUGCUUAGGUAAAUUACAAGGUUACACAGAAUCAUCUACUAACUUACUGUGCUCACUGUUACCCAAAAAACCAAAACACAAGAAAAAGUCUCUAAGAAGGAAUGAAGGUGAAUAGACGACUAUAAGAAAAUGCUUUUUUCAAUUCUGAAAGUCCAGGACUAUUAACUAAAAUUGAAGUGCUUGUCAACAAAAAUUACAUGCUGGCAGGUUUUUUUUGUCUAACCCAAUCUGCUAUAAAAGUAAUAGGAAGACUUUAUCAUGGCAUCUAAAAGUCAGUCCCAGUACAUAAACAUAUUAUUCUGUAUAUAUCAGUGGAUACCAGAAUUUCAGUCACAUGAACUUCAUGAAGACCAACUCAGACACUACUGAACAGAUUGUAGACUAGAGGAUAAUGCUAAGAAGGAACUAUGGGCAUAACAGCUCCAGAGGUUCAGUCAAGAUUCCUGAACACAGCUGCCAGAAACCUCUCAAGCAAAAUAAUUUUUUUUUCCCUUUUUUUACCAGUCACAACAUAUAUCUAUGUGAAAAAAAUCUGAUCUAUUAGAAACAUAAUAUAUAAAAAUUAUUCUGCGAGUACUGCCUAUUAGUUGCUAGCAACAGCUAAACUCUUCCAGGACAAAAGGAAUGAAUAUUUUUAUCGCCAACCAAAAUUAACAGUAAUUCUUACUCAUCACGCUGGUCAAAUUAUGCUCUGCUCCCAUCUCUGAAACAAUGAUCAAGCAGCACAUCAAUGAAGAGGUCUAAGACAGUUUUUCUCAGAGCUACUCAGUUUACACAGUUGAACUGCAGUCUGAACUAGCUUUUGUAUUUAGCCUUUAACACUUCCAUUUGACACAUAUUUUCUUUUACAUUAAAGAUGCACUGGAACUCUGGCAACUUCUGAAAUUCCCUGAAGAUGUACUACCAUUCCUUAUGAAGAUGUUUAUUAGGCUCUAGAAUUCCAUGGUUUGUUUCAGGCCUCACUGCCAAGACCUGGAUCCAUUAUUUCAAAAUUAAUUUCUUCAAUGGUGAUUCUUGAGAAAGCAACCUUUGAUGUUUCACCAACUGUUUUCCACCUACAUAUAUGAAAUCAAAGGCUUUUGAUAAAGGAGUGUUUAGUUUGUCUGUAGUCAUCUCCUCAUACAAUGCAGCAAUACAAUAAUAAAAGGUGUUCACUA